This 358-nucleotide ribosomal RNA is filed under the name uncultured Entomoneis. RNAcentral's name for it is "partial Eukaryotic small subunit ribosomal RNA". It matches the Rfam family "Eukaryotic small subunit ribosomal RNA", at positions 16 to 377 of the family's 1831-position model. Lineage: Eukaryota; Bacillariophyta; Bacillariophyceae; Surirellales; Surirellaceae. The record is from RNAcentral.
GCCAGUAGUCAUAUGCUUGUCUCAAAGAUUAAGCCAUGCAUGUCUAAGUAUAAGCAACUUGUACUGUGAAACUGCGAAUGGCUCAUUAAAUCAGUUAUCGUUUAUUUGAUAGUACCUUACUACAUGGAUACCUGUGGUAAUUCUAGAGCUAAUACAUGCUAAAAACCUCGACUUCGGAAGGGGUGUAUUUAUUAGAUAAAAAACCAACGCCCUUCGGGGCUCCUUGGUGAAUCAUAAUAACUAAGCGAAUCGCAUGGCCUUGCGCCGGCGAUGGUUCAUUCAAAUUUCUGCCCUAUCAACUUUCGAUGGUAGGAUAGUGGCCUACCAUGGUGGCAACGGGUAACGGGGAAUUAGGGUU